Molecule: non-coding RNA, 421 nt
Organism: Delphinapterus leucas (beluga whale)
Lineage: Eukaryota; Metazoa; Chordata; Mammalia; Artiodactyla; Monodontidae
Source: RefSeq, a predicted model, not a curated record
CCAAAGGACGGGGAAGCUGAAAAAGCACUUCCGGGAAUAAAAUGAGCAGUUCCCUCAUCCAGUUUUGACUCAACGUUUAACAAAGGAUGUGCCGCAACCUCAGACAUUUGUUUGGAAAUACUGUGUGACUCAGGAAAAAAUGAAAGAAUGCCAUUUGGAGCGAAGCUGUGAAAGUUGGGUUUAUAUGUAGAUACACCAAGAAGAUACAAGUAAUGCUGUUCAUCUUAAUCCAAGUGCCUGUCCUUUGGACCAGAAGCAAAGAAGCCACCCUGGUGGGAGUGCUUAUCUUGGGUCCACAGACACCCAGGGGGCUCUUAGAUGGCAUUCCGGGGAUCUAUAUAUUUGGAUGGGAGAAAGACUCACUCAUUUAUUUUCACUAACCUGUAACUGAAAUUUAGUAUUUCUUUCAAUUAUGAAGCUA